GAUGAACGCUGGCGGCGUGCCUAAUACAUGCAAGUCGAGCGAACAGACGAUGAGCUUGCUCCUCGGACGUUAGCGGCGCACGUGUGAGUAACACGUGUAUAACCUACCUAUAAGACUGGUAUAACUUCGGGAAACCGGAUCUAAUACCGGAUAAUCUAUUGAACCGCGUGGUGCAAUAGUGAGAUACGGUGGUUCUGUCUCUUAUAGAUGCAUCUCCGCCGCAUGAGAUAGUUGUUAAGGUAACGGGUUACCAAGGGAACGAUGCGUAGACGAAGUGAGAGGGUGAUCGGCGACCUUGGAAGUGAGACAGGGACAAGACUACUAAGGGAGGCAGCAGUAGGCAACGUGACGCAAUGGGCGAAAGUAUGACGGAGUAACGGGGAGUGAGAGAUGACGGUCCUGGGAUCGUAAAAACGUGUUAUGAGGGAAGAACAAAUGUGUAAGUAAAUAUGCACGUAUUGACGGUAAUUAAUAAGAAAGCACCGGCUAACUACGUG
This 497-nucleotide ribosomal RNA is filed under the name uncultured bacterium. Its description in RNAcentral is "partial 16S ribosomal RNA". It matches the Rfam family "Bacterial small subunit ribosomal RNA", at positions 28 to 507 of the family's 1533-position model. The record is from RNAcentral.